UACGUAGGGUGCGAGCGUUAUUCGGAAUCACUGGGCGUAAAGGGCGCGUAGGCGGCCUGGUAAGUCAGGGGUGAAAUCCCACGGCUCAACCGUGGAAUUGCCUUUGAAACUGCUGGGCUUGGAUCCUGGAGAGGGUGGCGGAAUUCCUGGUGUAGGAGUGAAAUCCGUAGAUAUCGGGAGGAACACCAGUAGCGAAGGCGGCCAUCUGGCUGGUAACUGACGCUGAGGUGCGAGAGCGUGGGGAGCAAACAGG
This 253-nucleotide ribosomal RNA is filed under the name uncultured microorganism. Its description in RNAcentral is "partial 16S ribosomal RNA". It matches the Rfam family "Bacterial small subunit ribosomal RNA", at positions 524 to 776 of the family's 1533-position model. The record is from RNAcentral.